RNAcentral lists this ribosomal RNA (528 nucleotides) under uncultured bacterium. RNAcentral describes it as "bacterial SSU rRNA". It matches the Rfam family "Bacterial small subunit ribosomal RNA", at positions 980 to 1509 of the family's 1533-position model. The record is from RNAcentral.
CUUGACAUCCAGCGAACUUUCCAGAGAUGGAUUGGUGCCUUCGGGAACGCUGAGACAGGUGCUGCAUGGCUGUCGUCAGCUCGUGUUGUGAAAUGUUGGGUUAAGUCCGCAACGAGCGCAACCCUUAUCCUUUGUUGCCAGCGAUUCGGUCGGGAACUCAAAGGAGACUGCCGGUGAUAAACCGGAGGAAGGUGGGGAUGACGUCAAGUCAUCAUGGCCCUUACGAGUAGGGCUACACACGUGCUACAAUGGCGCAUACAAAGAGAAGCGACCCCGCGAGAGCAAGCGGACCUCAUAAAGUGCGUCGUAGUCCGGAUCGGAGUCUGCAACUCGACUCCGUGAAGUCGGAAUCGCUAGUAAUCGUGGAUCAGAAUGCCACGGUGAAUACGUUCCCGGGCCUUGUACACACCGCCCGUCACACCAUGGGAGUGGGUUGCAAAAGAAGUAGGUAGCUUAACCUUCGGGAGGGCGCUUACCACUUUGUGAUUCAUGACUGGGGCGAAGUCGUAACAAGGUAAGCGUAGCGAG